Molecule: ribozyme, 76 nt
Filed under: Crocodylus porosus (Australian saltwater crocodile)
Lineage: Eukaryota; Metazoa; Chordata; Crocodylia; Crocodylidae
Description: Mammalian CPEB3 ribozyme (ENSCPRG00005017809.1)
Rfam family: Mammalian CPEB3 ribozyme
About the family: The mammalian CPEB3 ribozyme is a self cleaving RNA located in the second intron of the CPEB3 gene which belongs to a family of genes regulating messenger RNA polyadenylation. This ribozyme is highly conserved and found only in mammals. There is currently only one other known self cleaving ribozyme in mammals, the CoTC motif.
Source: Rfam by way of RNAcentral
AGAGCAGGGCUGAAGCCAUAACAGAAGCACUCAAGGUGCAGCCAUAUCAGAUUCAAACAAAUCUGCGAAUUCUGCU